UACGUAGGCAGCGAGCGUUGUUCGGAGUUACUGGGCGUAAAGGGUGUGUAGGCGGUUCUUUAAGUUUGGUGUGAAAUCUCCCGGCUCAACCGGGAGGGUGCGCCGAAUACUGAGGGACUAGAGUGCGGGAGAGGAAAGUGGAAUUCCCGGUGUAGUGGUGAAAUGCGUAGAUAUCGGGAGGAACACCAGUGGCGAAGGCGACUACCUGGCCUGUUCUUGACGCUGAGGCGCGAAAGCUAGGGGAGCAAACGGG
Molecule: ribosomal RNA, 253 nt
Filed under: uncultured prokaryote
Description: partial 16S ribosomal RNA
Rfam family: Bacterial small subunit ribosomal RNA
Source: RNAcentral